Molecule: non-coding RNA, 1564 nt
Organism: Odocoileus virginianus texanus
Lineage: Eukaryota; Metazoa; Chordata; Mammalia; Artiodactyla; Cervidae
Source: RefSeq, a predicted model, not a curated record
GUGGCAGUCUUCCUCUCAAGGGUUGCCUGUACUCAGCGCGUCACACUGAAGCUGAGACAGGAGAACUAGGAACGCUCCCAUCCUUUUAGCUGCGGCUGGUUCCGCAAGCUGGGCUCCACGACGGCCCUGGUGAGGAUGCGUGAACUUGCGCUUUGUCCAGAGACGCAGCCGACUGUGAACAGACCCUUGGAGCUCCAUGUGGACCCGUGAGAAGCCUGUUUUCUGACUGUCAGCUCCCGCCAGAGCUGAAGACGCACCUGGUCUUUGCAGCGCCGGCCGGCCGGCCCCUCAGAACGUGAAGCUGGUGUGGGUUUCCCGCACCCAGAUGCGUCUCCUGGAGCCGGGCCCUUCCAGCCUCACGCGUGAUCUUUGGAGCAUCAGAGGGGCGGGCUGUAAAAGUGCCCCAGCUCCACGUCUGAGGGGGCGGCUGAGACCCCGGGCACUCGGCCCUCCACACUUGAGCACUAGCGCCAGAUCCAGGUCCUCUGGAGUCACCAGGCUCCCCCGCAGGAGCUGCGCUUUCCCCAGAGUCCAGGAACGUCCAGGCCUGGGCCGGGAGCUGAGAGCAAGGGACCCAGGGGGCGGGGCGAUCCCGGAUCCGGAGGAGCUGCUGGGCUGCAGCGCCCGCCAGGGCCAGGUGUCUGCCUGCAACCCCGUCUCCACUGGGGCUGUUCCCCGGGGGCCUGUGCUGUCCACUCUCUGCUCUGCAAGCUCAAGCCCCGUCACUGCCCAGCAGACGAGGAAGGUUCCUGAGAGCCUCCACCACCAGACUGCAGCAGCCUCGUCUGCAGACCAGCUUCUCUGAGCAGUCCGGUCGGUGUAUCACCACUGAAGCAGUGAAGGACCCCCUGGACAGCCGGGUGCCCAUAGGGCCCGGGAGGUCAUCUGCCCGGGAAUCCCAGCCGUACCUCGGGAGUCUGGGCAUGAGCCAGUGGGAGGGCCCAUAGCCACCAAGCAGAGCCCCGACUUCCUGGGGGCCCACCCCCCACCUCCACUUGGAGCUGCAGCCAAACCCAGCCCAGCCCUGCCAGGGGCCCAGCGCCCAGGCAGUGGUCCUCCCGUCAACAGGACGUGCGUCUGGCCCCAGAACUGGCCCAGCGUCCCUCACUAGAGACAUGCAGCUCUCCUGUGGACCCCCGAGAGCCACACGGACGGCCAGCCUGCGUCCGCGAGGGCGGAUUCUGAACUGGGAAGAAAUCCCUUCCUUUGAUGAGGACACGGCCCCCCUCCGCCCUCCACAGCAGGGAGGCUCCCAAUGAGGAGAGAACCCCCCACCGCCACCCCCGCAGCGGUCACAGCCACACCUGGGGACCUUCUCUGAGUCGCCCUGCGCUGUGGCCGCCAGGGGCCAGGAACCCUCCACAGGCUGCUUGGACUAAGGAAAUGCCGCCGAGGGCUGGGAUCACUGCAGGGCGUGUUCUGGGCUAUUUUAAACUGAAUGGUGGGUACUUUCUAUAGAAGGAACAGGCGUUGACUCUUCUCUUGCUCCGUGGUUUCUGCCACUAAUGGUGAAAUCUGUCUUCAAAAAUCUAAGAAAAAAAUCUAAUAAAACUCAGUAAUAAAG